RNAcentral lists this transfer RNA (72 nucleotides) under Fukomys damarensis (Damara mole-rat). It matches the Rfam family "tRNA". From Rfam's summary of the family: Transfer RNA (tRNA) molecules are approximately 80 nucleotides in length. Their secondary structure includes four short double-helical elements and three loops (D, anti-codon, and T loops). The record is from Rfam by way of RNAcentral. Lineage: Eukaryota; Metazoa; Chordata; Mammalia; Rodentia; Bathyergidae.
UGGGAUGUAGCUCAGCAGCACAGCGCCUGCCUGGCAAGAAUGAAGCCCUGAGUUCAAUUCUCAGUAUAACAA